AAAGGAAUAGACGGGACCCCGCACAAGCGGUGGAUCAUGUUGUUUAAUUCGAAGAUACGCGAAGAACCUUACCAGGUCUUGACAUCCCUUGCAAUACUAUAGAGAUAUAGUGGAGGCUAUCAAGGUGACAGGUGGUGCAUGGUUGUCGUCAGCUCGUGUCGUGAGAUGUUGGGUUAAGUCCCGUAACGAGCGCAACCCUCGUCGUUAGUUGCCAUCAUUAAGUUGGGGACUCUAACGAGACUGCCAGUGAUAAACUGGAGGAAGGUGAGGAUGACGUCAAAUCAUCAUGCCCCUUAUGACCUGGGCUACAAACGUGAUACAAUGGAUAGAACAAAGGGAUGCGAAGCAGUGAUGUGGAGCGAAACCCAUAAAAAUAUUCUCAGUUCGGAUUGAAGUCUGCAACUCGACUUCAUGAAGCUGGAAUCGCUAGUAAUCGUGGAUCAGAACGCCACGGUGAAUACGUUCUCGGGGUUUGUACACACCGCCCGU
Molecule: ribosomal RNA, 489 nt
Filed under: uncultured bacterium
Lineage: Bacteria
Description: bacterial SSU rRNA
Rfam family: Bacterial small subunit ribosomal RNA
Source: RNAcentral